Molecule: ribosomal RNA, 396 nt
Filed under: uncultured bacterium
Lineage: Bacteria
Description: bacterial SSU rRNA
Rfam family: Bacterial small subunit ribosomal RNA
Source: RNAcentral
GACGAACGCUGGCGGCGUGCCUAACACAUGCAAGUGGAGCGACGAACCAGGCUUCGGCCUGGGGCAAGGCCGCGAACGGGUGAGUAACACGUGGGUAACCUGCCCUGAUGAUUGGGACAACCCGAGGAAACUCGGGCUAAUACCGAAUGUGCCCUCCGGCCUCAAGGCCGCUGGGGAAAGGAAGCUUCGGCCUCCGCAUCGGGAUGGGCCCGCGGCCCAUUAGCUUGUUGGUGAGGUAACGGCNCACCAAGGCGACGAUGGGUAGCUGGUCUGAGAGGACGAUCAGCCACACUGGGACUGAGACACGGCCCAGACUCCUACGGGAGGCAGCAGUGGGGAAUCUUGCGCAAUGCGCGAAAGCGUGAUGCAGCAACGCCGCGUGGGGGAAGAAGGCCU